CAGUCGCCGCGGGAAUACGUAGGGUGCAAGCGUUAAUCGGAAUUACUGGGCGUAAAGCGUGCGCAGGCGGUUAUAUAAGACAGAUGUGAAAUCCCCGGGCUCAACCUGGGAACUGCAUUUGUGACUGUAUAGCUAGAGUACGGCAGAGGGGGAUGGAAUUCCGCGUGUAGCAGUGAAAUGCGUAGAUAUGCGGAGGAACACCGAUGGCGAAGGCAAUCCCCUGGGCCUGUACUGACGCUCAUGCACGAAAGCGUGGGGAGCAAACAGGAUUAGAGACCCGAGUAGUCCCUGUCUCUUAUAA
This 301-nucleotide ribosomal RNA is filed under the name uncultured bacterium. Its description in RNAcentral is "partial 16S ribosomal RNA". It matches the Rfam family "Bacterial small subunit ribosomal RNA", at positions 509 to 809 of the family's 1533-position model. The record is from RNAcentral.